This 64-nucleotide non-coding RNA is filed under the name Sus scrofa (pig). The record is from RNAcentral. Lineage: Eukaryota; Metazoa; Chordata; Mammalia; Artiodactyla; Suidae.
GGCACCCUCAUUCUUCUUUCUAGAUUCUGACUCAUGAUCACAAUCUGAAAGUACUGGGGGCCUC